GCCCUCUCAUGACCGCACCUGGAGAAUUUCCAGUAUUCUACCAGUCUCGGCUUCGGGAGGGAGAGUCAAGCAGGGGCCUACCCAUUCCAUUCCUAGCUUGGUCAGUGGCUAGCAAGUGGAAAGCUAUCUGCUUCAAGU
Small nucleolar RNA from Tachyglossus aculeatus (Australian echidna), 138 nucleotides. Lineage: Eukaryota; Metazoa; Chordata; Mammalia; Monotremata; Tachyglossidae. The record is from RefSeq and is a predicted model, not a curated record.